Molecule: ribosomal RNA, 253 nt
Filed under: uncultured bacterium
Lineage: Bacteria
Description: partial 16S ribosomal RNA
Rfam family: Bacterial small subunit ribosomal RNA
Source: RNAcentral
UACAGAGGGUGCGAGCGUUACUCGGAAUUACUGGGCGUAAAGCGCGCGUAGGCGGCUUUUCAAGUCGAUUGUGAAAUCCCCGGGCUUAACCUGGGAACUGCAGUCGAGACUGUCUAGCUAGAGUAUGGGAGAGGGAAGUGGAAUUUCAGGUGUAGCGGUGAAAUGCGUAGAUAUCUGAAGGAACAUCAGUGGCGAAAGCGACUUCCUGGACCAAUACUGACGCUCAUGUGCGAAAGCGUGGGGAGCAAACAGG